This is a non-coding RNA of Phrynosoma platyrhinos (Desert horned lizard), 72 nucleotides long. The record is from the annotation of a GenBank genome assembly. NCBI's taxonomy places the organism in Eukaryota, Metazoa, Chordata, Lepidosauria, Squamata, Phrynosomatidae.
GUCACUGUGGCAUAGUGGUUUGAACAUUGGAUUACAACUCUAGAGACCAAGGUUCAAAUCCCAGCUCAGCCA